This 423-nucleotide ribosomal RNA is filed under the name uncultured Burkholderia sp. Its description in RNAcentral is "bacterial SSU rRNA". It matches the Rfam family "Bacterial small subunit ribosomal RNA", at positions 381 to 796 of the family's 1533-position model. Lineage: Bacteria; Pseudomonadati; Pseudomonadota; Betaproteobacteria; Burkholderiales; Burkholderiaceae. The record is from RNAcentral.
AGCUGAUCCAGCAAUGCCGCGUGAGUGAAGAAGGCCUUCGGGUUGUAAAGCUCUUUUGUCCGGAAAGAAAUCCUUGGCUCUUGUACAGUCCGGGGAUGACGGGUCCGUUAAGAAUAAACGCCGGGCUACUACGUGCCCGCAGCCGCGGUAAUACGUAGGGUGCGAGCGUUAAUCCGAAUUUCUGGGCGUAAAGCGUGCGCAGGCGGUUUGCUAAAACCGAUGUGUAAUCCCCGGGCUCAACCUGGGAACUGCAUUGGAGACUGGUUGGCUAGAGUAUGGAGAGGGGGGUAGAAUUCCAUGUGUAGCAGUGAAAUGCGUAGAGAUGUGGAGGAAUACCGAUGGCGAAGGCAGCCCCCUGGGCCGUUACUGACGCUCAUGCUCGAAAGCGUGGGGAGCAAACAGGAUUAGAUACCCCGGUAGUCA